GGGUAAGGGCUCUUCACAGCACUUCAGGCCCGCUGACAGUUUCUAUAAAAACAGCAGGUGUCUUGGCUGGGUCUCAGCAUUAAGAACCUUGCCAGAAACAAAGGCCUGCAUACAGGGAUAUUUAUAAUUUAUGCCUGCAUUGCUAUGUAGAGACUCGCUUGGAAUCUGCUCCAGGACUCCAACUUCUUGUCUGACGGAGACCAGGAAAGGGUGGGAGACAAGGAAUAAAGCAGCAGCAAUGACAAUACUCUUGCUUUCCAAGGAAGGGCUUGAGAACCCACUUAUUAGCACCUAAUGAAGCAGCACAUGCUUCAGUGUUCUUCCCCUCUCAAAACAGAAGCUCUGGAAGUUGCCAUAACAGAAAGGAGCUCUCCGUAUCAGCACUUCUCAUGCACCUCAGAGAUUGUUCCCACCCAGGAACAGUGCUCCAAUGCCAAUGAAAAGAAGUAUACCACCCUACCCUGCUUGCCAAGGGACAGCUGCUGCAAGUAUGAAAUCACCACUGUUUUGCAAAGCAGUAGCAACAUUGUUUAAGAAGACAAGAGUUUAAGGAUGAAAGAAUGAGAAUACCCUUCCAUUUAGUAGCUAUUAUUAUUGUUCAUUGUAAGGAACAAUCUUCUACAGCCCAAGUUGGCAAAACCUGUGUGGAAAGUUCAAUUUGAAGCAAGGAGCAGCACUGACCUUACAUAAUCACUGAAGAAUAGCCUUCUCAAUAAUUUCACGUUACAGGAACAAAGCUGUAGUCCUAUUGGUGCGAGAGUGUGUUUACACUGCAAACCACUAUAGUUCCUUACAACAACAACAAAAAUUUUUUCCAUGCUGUAAGAUUACACAAGGUUCAAAUUUCAUACCAUUCAACUUGUCUGUCAAAAUUCACCAUCUUUUGAAGGGCAGGGAAACCUGAGUGUUCACCAGCUACUGUUUAUUCAUAAUUCACACAACUCUCCAAAUGAAAAUAUGAAAAUUUGGGGGGGUGAUUCUCUUAUUUCAGGACUAACUCCACGUUUUCCAUCCUUACAGGAUAAAGAACACAUAGGUAGGCAGCAAGAAAGACGUAUACUUUCUCACUCAAAGAAGAGCGUACUAAAGAUGAGGUACUACUGGCAAGGCCAUACGAGCACGGCUAUGCAUCUGGAUUUCCAAAGGAAUAUUGGGAGAACGGUUUCUCUAGCUCACCAGUAUUUUCUGAAAAUCAAUUGCACAGCUCCUCUGAUGAACUAUCUUUAAAACACACUGGGGGGAGGGAGAGGGCGGUGCAUGGAGAGACUUUCGGUAGCAUUGCCCUCAUGAGCAGUCCUGAAAUGUACACAAUUCAUUUUGAAAUCAAGUAGAUAUAGCAGACAACAGGCUGAUUUCAAAAUAGCUCAGAAAGAAUGAAAUGAAAUCAUGACAAACACACCCAGCUAUGACUACCAUGAUAGAUGUAUUAGAAAUGCAAUUAAGAUAUUUCAUUUACGUCCGCAGUGAAACCAUUACCUGGUAUGUAAAUUUCACAGCUUCAUAGCAACUAGCCAAUUAGCUGAGAAGUCAGAGAAUUUCCUGCCCUUUCCCCCAUUAGCAUUCUGCACACUGUGCUCUCCUGCUAGAUCUGCUAUUCUUACACCAAGCCCUUUGACCUCUUGACGUGGGCGCUGGGAAAUACCAACUCUUUUAGAUACACACAGUGGACUUUCAUCACUUACGCUUACACUACUCCUUCAAAUCGGCAUUUUAAAUACAUGGUCUCUGUGUCUCUAUUCUUCCCCUCCCUCCACAUACAUGCCCUCAAAAGAUACUCCACCAUUUAUUUACAGGCAUUUCUAUACCGUACUAUUCAAGGGCCUAUUGAUUUAUGGCACAAUACCAGAUCUGGACCACGCUUAUAUUUAAUUUUUCUCAAAGAUGCGGGACAAUCAACUGAAAACUGAUUAGUUUUAAAUCAUUGCGUGCUCGCUGGUAACACUCCUGGGACGAGGAAGUUUAAGUCUGAGAAAUUUUAAUUGCAAAUUAUUUGUCCCUAAGGUGUUCCAGACUCUAAAAAAGUAAUCCACUGCUUUCUGCUGUGCUUAUAAAAUUCUGUGCUUUUUACACUGAUCGUACAGUCAUUUGUUUUAAUAGGAUAUCAUACUGCCAAUGUUAAACCUGUAAAGCUGAAAUGCACAGACAAAAGUCUCAGCUCCUGGGUACAUUAUCCUACAUAUCUAAUUAGUAAAUGAUAUGUUACUCAUGAAUUAUGAGGAAAGUGGAAGCCUGAAGGAGGAAGAUAAAGGGUUAAGUCUCAAUUUUGGGAUCUACAUAUUAUUAAAAGUAGCAAUUUAGCUUUAUAGGAUACAUUUCUAUCUUUGUAUGCAGUACUGUUGUAGCCAUGUCAGUCCCAGGAUAUUAGAGAGACAAAGUGGGGGAGGUAAUAUCUUUAAUUGGACCAACCAGCUCUUCCUCAGAUCUGGGAAAGGUACUCAGAGUGUCACAGCUAAAUACAAGGUCGAACAGAUAGCGUAGCAUAAGUAGACACCACAUUCUAAAGAACCAUUCAAGGUGAAGCGACCCUGUAACAUCCCUACAGACACAGGACAAAAAGGGGAGUAAGUGGAUUACAGAUUGUUAUAAAACAACAUAAAUCCAGUGUCAUCAUUAAGACCAUGAUUUUUAGUGUCUUGUAAAGUUAUAAAUGUAAGCUCCCAGGCUUGUCUUUUGAAAGUACUGUGCAGGUUUCCUUUGAGGAUGAGGACUGACAGUGAUCAGUCUAUAAUUGACCUUUGUGGGAAAAAAAGAGCAACUCUGUGUAAACUCGAAAGCUUGUCUCUUACCAAUAGAAGGUGGUCCAAUAAAAUAUUACCUCAUCCACCUUGUCUCUGAUUAUGAUUAAGGCAUUUUAGGGUGUGUGGUCCCAGAUUAAAUUCAGUUUGUUUGUUUUUUCAUAUUUCUUACCUAUCAUAGCAUUAC
Non-coding RNA from Chrysemys picta bellii (western painted turtle), 2922 nucleotides. NCBI's taxonomy places the organism in Eukaryota, Metazoa, Chordata, Testudines, Emydidae. The record is from RefSeq and is a predicted model, not a curated record.